GCGCCCGUAGCUCAGCGGAUCAGAGCAUCUGUCUACGGAACAGAAGGUCGCAGGUUCGAAUCCUGCCGGGCGUG
This 74-nucleotide transfer RNA is filed under the name Planctomycetales bacterium 4484_113. RNAcentral's name for it is "tRNA-Arg". It matches the Rfam family "tRNA". From Rfam's summary of the family: Transfer RNA (tRNA) molecules are approximately 80 nucleotides in length. Lineage: Bacteria; Pseudomonadati; Planctomycetota; Planctomycetia; Planctomycetales. The record is from RNAcentral. RNAcentral also lists the same sequence under 1 other name.